GAGGAGUUUGGCUAGCUGCUUGCUGCUUUUCCAACAUUCAACGAGUCUUGUUCAGAGAGAUUCAAAACCACAAAUAUGUAUAGGUGCAGAAAAUAAAUAAAUAUCAAGACUUAAAUAAAACAUAGAUUAAAUUAAUUUUAUCUCACAAAUGCAUCAUUGGAGUUCACCAAACAUCAACUUGGAAAAGAAAGAAAGUUAGCCACUUAUCGUGGUCUUUAAUACAAAAUGAG
Molecule: long non-coding RNA, 230 nt
Filed under: Carica papaya (papaya)
Lineage: Eukaryota; Viridiplantae; Streptophyta; Magnoliopsida; Brassicales; Caricaceae
Description: long non-coding RNA (CPAP_LNC004435)
Source: RNAcentral